This 253-nucleotide ribosomal RNA is filed under the name uncultured bacterium. RNAcentral's name for it is "partial 16S ribosomal RNA". It matches the Rfam family "Bacterial small subunit ribosomal RNA", at positions 524 to 776 of the family's 1533-position model. The record is from RNAcentral.
UACGGGGGGGGCAAGCGUUGUUCGGAAUUACUGGGCGUAAAGCGCACGUAGGCGGACUAUUAAGUCAGGGGUGAAAUCCUGGAGCUCAACUCCAGAACUGCCUUCGAUACUGAGAGUCUCGAGUCCGGGAGAGGUGAGUGGAACUGCGAGUGUAGAGGUGAAAUUCGUAGAUAUUCGCAAGAACACCAGUGGCGAAGGCGGCUCACUGGCCCGGUACUGACGCUGAGGUGCGAAAGCGUGGGGAGCAAACAGG